CCUACGGGUGGCAGCAGUAGGGAAUUUUCGUCAAUGGGCGCAAGCCUGAACGAGCAAUGCCGCGUGAACGAGGAAGGUCUUCAGAUCGUAAAGUUCUGUUGAAGGGGAAACAGAGCGGAGAGAGGAAAUGGUCUCCGAUUUAUAUUACCCUUCGAGGAAGUCACGGCUAACUACGUGCCAGCAGCCGCGGUAAUACGUAGGUGGCGUGCGUUAUCCGGAAGGAUUGGGCGAAAGGGGUGCGUAGGCGGCCUGCUAAGUCUGGAGUGAAAGGUACCGGCUCAACCGGUACAGGCCCUGGAAACUGGCGGGCUAGAGAGCAGGAGAGGGCGGUGGAACUCCAGGUGUAGCGGUAAAAUGCGUAGAUAUAUGGAAGAACUCCAGUGGCGAAGGCGGCCGCCUGGCCUGUUACUGACGCUGAGGCACGAAAGCGUGGGGAGCAAAUAGGAUUAGAUACCCGUGUAGUC
This 464-nucleotide ribosomal RNA is filed under the name uncultured bacterium. RNAcentral's name for it is "partial 16S ribosomal RNA". It matches the Rfam family "Bacterial small subunit ribosomal RNA", at positions 338 to 795 of the family's 1533-position model. The record is from RNAcentral.